RNAcentral lists this ribosomal RNA (253 nucleotides) under uncultured bacterium. Its description in RNAcentral is "partial 16S ribosomal RNA". It matches the Rfam family "Bacterial small subunit ribosomal RNA", at positions 524 to 776 of the family's 1533-position model. The record is from RNAcentral.
UACAGAGGGGGCAAGCGUUGUUCGGAAUUACUGGGCGUAAAGGGCGCGUAGGCGGCCUUCUAAGUCGAACGUGAAAUCCCCGGGCUCAACCCGGGAACUGCGUCCGAGACUGGAAGGCUUGAAUCCGGGAGAGGGAUGUGGAAUUCCAGGUGUAGCGGUGAAAUGCGUAGAUAUCGGGAAGAACACCCGUGGCGAAGGCGGUUCUCUGGGACGGUACCGACGCUGAGACGCGAAAGCGUGGGGAGCGAACAGG